Molecule: long non-coding RNA, 1124 nt
Organism: Amphiprion ocellaris (clown anemonefish)
Lineage: Eukaryota; Metazoa; Chordata; Actinopteri; Pomacentridae
Source: Ensembl
UUCUGAAUCUGUGAAUAUCUUUCCGAUUUUACUGAACUGUGGCUCCAAGGAGCCGUGCUGGGCAUCCUUUAUUUUCAUUUCUGAAAGGUGGCAACCCUAAUUGAGAGCCAGGUUGCUUUACCGGCGAAGGUACGACUUGGACACCGGGAUAGAUUUCAUUGUUGACCAACUGCAAGGCCCUGGAAAGGAUCACGGUUACCGGUGGAUGUUCACAAAGUGUAAACAACACGGUAUUUCUAUCAGAAAAGAAGACGUCAGGAUCCUCCUCUCUCUACUGGACCCCAUCAGUUCCCAAGUUCGUCAGACCAGACGUCUCAGAAGGAGGCAAUAUUUUGCUCAGGGACCCAACUUUGUGUGGCACAUUGACUCAUAUGACAAACUGAAGCCAUAUGGGAUAUGUAUUAAUGGCUGCAUCGACGGGUUUUCACGCAACAUCAUUUGGCUGCGGGCCGCCUUCACUAACAGCGACCCGAAAGUUAUCGGAGGGUACUUCAUGGAAGCAGUGGAGCGCUGUGGGGGCUGCCCAAGGCUCGUACGAACUGACAUGGGCACUGAGAAUGUGGUAUUUACGGAGAAAUGACGUGGAUGACAGAGCAAUGGAGAGAAGCUACGUCACAGGAGCAAGUACCGUGAACCAGAGAAUUGAGAGCUGGGGGUGAGUGAUGAGAAAAGAAGGAAUCGAACCCUGGAUCAUGCUGCUGGCAGAACUGAAGGAUGAGGGAUUCUUCGCUGGGGAUUUCAUUGACAAAGCUCUGUCACAGUUCUGUUUCAUGCCAAUCAUUCAGGAGGUAUUAAAUGACAUCUGGGGUGUUUGGAAUGCUCACGUAUAAGACCGUCUAAGAACACCAACGUGCCCAGUGGGAUACCUGAUGUCAUGUACAUGGUCCCUCACCUUUGGGGUGCAGAAGACUGUCUUGUUCCACUGACUGAUGAUUUAACCACAUGUAAAGACAGCUGCACGUUUGUCAGUUCAGUCCCAUGUGAUGUGGAUGUGUUUGAUUUGUGCACAAUAAUAAUGGAAGAAUCAAGCUUGGAGUUCCCAUCUACCAUGUCCCAGGCACUUGAUUUGUAUUUUCAUCUGAGGGACACAGUUCGUCCAGUUAUUUGAAGCUAUUUAAAUGGAC